Molecule: non-coding RNA, 172 nt
Filed under: Burkholderia pyrrocinia
Lineage: Bacteria; Pseudomonadati; Pseudomonadota; Betaproteobacteria; Burkholderiales; Burkholderiaceae
Also listed under: 2 other names
Source: RNAcentral
ACGAGGGCGACCGAGUGUGGGGAGGAAGCGUGGAGCGAAACCGCGAGCCGAUGGACAAGAACCAGAUAUAAGGCGAUGCCGAUCAGGGCGAGCAGGCUGAAAACUGCGAAGCUCUCGUGGCCAAAGAUCAGGCGGCGUAAAUCUGGCGGCUGUGCGGGGAAGGACUGCGUUC